CUCCCUGUAGUUCAAUGGAUAGAACGAGUGCCUCCUAAGCGCUAGAUACAGGUUCGAUUCCUGUCGGGGGGA
RNAcentral lists this transfer RNA (72 nucleotides) under Linnemannia gamsii. Its description in RNAcentral is "Mortierella gamsii tRNA". It matches the Rfam family "tRNA". Rfam says of the family: Transfer RNA (tRNA) molecules are approximately 80 nucleotides in length. Their secondary structure includes four short double-helical elements and three loops (D, anti-codon, and T loops). RNAcentral also lists the same sequence under 3 other names. Lineage: Eukaryota; Fungi; Mortierellomycota; Mortierellomycetes; Mortierellales; Mortierellaceae. The record is from Rfam by way of RNAcentral.